This 428-nucleotide ribosomal RNA is filed under the name uncultured bacterium. Its description in RNAcentral is "bacterial SSU rRNA". It matches the Rfam family "Bacterial small subunit ribosomal RNA", at positions 354 to 796 of the family's 1533-position model. The record is from RNAcentral.
GUGGGGAAUAUUGCACAAUGGGCGCAAGCCUGAUGCAGCAACGCCGCGUGAGCGAUGAAGGCCUUCGGGUCGUAAAGCUCUGUCCUGGGGGAAGAAACAAAUGACGGUACCCCGGGAGGAAGCCCCGGCUAACUACGUGCCAGCAGCCGCGGUAAUACGUAGGGGGCAAGCGUUAUCCGGAAUUAUUGGGCGUAAAGAGUGCGUAGGUGGUUCUGUAAGCGCAAAGGUGAAAGGCUACAGCUUAACUGUAGUAAGCCAUGCGAACUGUGGAACUUGAGUGCAGGAGAGGAGAGCGGAAUUCCUAGUGUAGCGGUGAAAUGCGUAGAUAUUAGGAGGAACACCAGUGGCGAAGGCGGCUCUCUGGACUGUAACUGACACUGAGGCACGAAAGCGUGGGGAGCGAACAGGAUUAGAAACCCUAGUAGUCC